This 406-nucleotide ribosomal RNA is filed under the name uncultured bacterium. Its description in RNAcentral is "partial 16S ribosomal RNA". It matches the Rfam family "Bacterial small subunit ribosomal RNA", at positions 30 to 526 of the family's 1533-position model. The record is from RNAcentral.
AUUGAACGCUGGCGGCAGGCCUAACACAUGCAAGUCGAACGAGUGGCGGACGGGUGAGUAAUGUCUGGGACACUGCCUGAUGGAUGGGGCUAACUAAUGGCCACGGUAGCUACUACCGCCUACCAUCAGCUGUGCCCAGAUGGGAGUAGCUUGUUGGUGGGGUCACGGCUCACCACGGCGACGAUCCCUAGCUGGUCUGAGAGGAUGCACAGCCACACUGGAAAUGAGACACGGUCCAGACUCCUACGGGAGGCAGCAGUGGGGAAUAUUGCACAAUGGGCGCAAGCCUGAUGCAGCCAUGCCGCGUGUAUGAAGAAGGCCUUCGGGUUGUAAAGUACGUUCAGCUGGGAGGCGUUACCAGCAGAAGAAGCACCGGCUAACUCCGUGCCAGCCGCCGCGGUAAUUC